Molecule: ribosomal RNA, 497 nt
Filed under: uncultured bacterium
Lineage: Bacteria
Description: partial 16S ribosomal RNA
Rfam family: Bacterial small subunit ribosomal RNA
Source: RNAcentral
GAUGAACGCUGGCGGCGUGCCUAAUACAUGCAAGUCGAGCGAACGGACGAGAAGCUUGCUUCUCUGAUGUUAGCGGCGGACGGGUGAGUAACACGUGGAUAACCUACCUAUAAGACUGGGAUAACUUCGGGAAACCGGAGCUAAUACCGGAUAAUAUUUUGAACCGCAUGGUUCAAAAGUGAAAGACGGUCUUGCUGUCACUUAUAGAUGGAUCCGCGCUGCAUUAGCUAGUUGGUAAGGUAACGGCUUACCAAGGCAACGAUGCAUAGCCGACCUGAGAGGGUGGUCCGCCCAACUGGAACCUAGACCCGGUCCCGACUCCUACGGGAGGGCGCCGUAGGGAAUUUUCCGGCAUUGGCGAAAGCCUGACGGAGCAACGCCGCGUGAGUGAUGAAGGUCUUCGGAUCGUAAAACUCUGUUAUUAGGGAAGAACAUAUGUGUAAGUAACUGUGCACAUCUUGACGGUACCUAAUCAGAAAGCCACGGCUAACUACGUG